UACGGAGGGGGCUAGCGUUGUUCGGAAUUACUGGGCGUAAAGCGCGCGUAGGCGGCUUUGUAAGCUAGAGGUGAAAGCCCGGGGCUCAACUCCGGAAUUGCCUUUAAGACUGCAUCGCUAGAAUUGUGGAGAGGUAAGUGGAAUUCCGAGUGUAGAGGUGAAAUUCGUAGAUAUUCGGAAGAACACCAGUGGCGAAGGCGACUUACUGGACACAUAUUGACGCUGAGGUGCGAAAGCGUGGGGAGCAAACAGG
RNAcentral lists this ribosomal RNA (253 nucleotides) under uncultured bacterium. RNAcentral's name for it is "partial 16S ribosomal RNA". It matches the Rfam family "Bacterial small subunit ribosomal RNA", at positions 524 to 776 of the family's 1533-position model. The record is from RNAcentral.